Molecule: ribosomal RNA, 601 nt
Filed under: uncultured bacterium
Lineage: Bacteria
Description: bacterial SSU rRNA
Rfam family: Bacterial small subunit ribosomal RNA
Source: RNAcentral
UAAAGCUCGAAGGUGCGGGUAUCGAACAGGAUUAGAUACCCUGGUAGUCCGCACGGUAAACGAUGGAUGCCCGCUGUUUGCGAUAUACUGUGAGCGGCCAAGAGAAAUCGUUAAGCAUCCCACCUGGGGAGUACGCCGGCAACGGUGAAACUCAAAGGAAUUGACGGGGGCCCGCACAAGCGGAGGAACAUGUGGUUUAAUUCGAUGAUACGCGAGGAACCUUACCCGGGCUUGAACUGCAGGAGAAGGAUACAGAGAUGUUGACGUCCUUCGGGACUCCUGUGGAGGUGCUGCAUGGUUGUCGUCAGCUCGUGCCGUGAGGUGUCGGCUUAAGUGCCAUAACGAGCGCAACCCUUUUCGCCAGUUGCCAUCAGGUGAUGCUGGGCACUCUGGGGAUACUGCCACCGUAAGGUGUGAGGAAGGUGGGGAUGACGUCAAAUCAGCACGGCCCUUACGUCCGGGGCUACACACGUGUUACAAUGGGGAGUACAGAGAGUCGGUCGCACGCAAGUACGAUCCAAUCAUGAAAGCUCUCCUCAGUUCGGAUUGGGGUCUGCAACCCGACCCCAUGAAGCUGGAUUCGCUAGUAAUCGCGCAUCAG